GCGGCUUGCUCCCGUGCUUACUGGAGGUGGCAACAUAAAUACCUUCUGCCGAGAUACACAACGUUUGCACCUAUUGCGCAAGCAUUGGUCGCUUCGUCACUAUUUUUCUACUAUAUCAACUAUAGCAAGUUGCAAGUGCAUAGAAAAUAUAA
Tropilaelaps mercedesae is the source of this 152-nucleotide long non-coding RNA. It matches the Rfam family "Sphinx conserved region 2". The record is from Rfam. NCBI's taxonomy places the organism in Eukaryota, Metazoa, Arthropoda, Arachnida, Mesostigmata, Laelapidae.